This 253-nucleotide ribosomal RNA is filed under the name uncultured bacterium. RNAcentral's name for it is "partial 16S ribosomal RNA". It matches the Rfam family "Bacterial small subunit ribosomal RNA", at positions 524 to 776 of the family's 1533-position model. The record is from RNAcentral.
UACGUAGGGGGCAAGCGUUGUCCGGAAUCAUUGGGCGUAAAGAGCGUGUAGGCGGCCCGGUAAGUCCGCUGUGAAAGUCCAGGGCUCAACCCUGGGAUGCCGGUGGAUACUGUCGGGCUCGAGUCCGGAAGAGGAGUGUGGAAUUCCUGGUGUAGCGGUGAAAUGCGCAGAUAUCAGGAGGAACACCAAUGGCGAAGGCAGCACUCUGGGACGUGACUGACACUGAGACGCGAAAGCGUGGGGAGCGAACAGG